ACGCGUACGGUACUCGCUACACUGGGGGAUAACACUUAGAAAUAGGUGCUAAUACCGCAUAAGCGCACGAAGCCGCAUGGAUUUGUGUGAAAAACUCCGGUGGUGUAAGAUGGACCCGCGUCUGAUUAGCUUGUUGGCGGGGUAACGGCCCACCAAGGCGACGAUCAGUAGCCGGCCUGAGAGGGUGGACGGCCACAUUGGGACUGAGACACGGCCCAAACUCCUACGGAAGGCAGCAG
RNAcentral lists this ribosomal RNA (239 nucleotides) under uncultured bacterium. RNAcentral's name for it is "partial 16S ribosomal RNA". It matches the Rfam family "Bacterial small subunit ribosomal RNA", at positions 113 to 354 of the family's 1533-position model. The record is from RNAcentral.